This 347-nucleotide unclassified non-coding RNA is filed under the name soil metagenome. RNAcentral describes it as "partial contains 5.8S ribosomal RNA, internal transcribed spacer 2, and large subunit ribosomal RNA". The stretch from base 1 to 120 matches the Rfam family "5.8S ribosomal RNA", at positions 35 to 154 of the family's 154-position model. The record is from RNAcentral.
GAUGAAGAACGUAGUGAAAUGCGAUAAUUAAUGUGAAUUGCAGAAUUCAGUGAAUCAUCGAGUCUUUGAACGCACAUUGCGCCCCCUGGUAUUCCGGGGGGCAUGCCUGUCCGAGCGUCAUUGCUGCCCUCAAGCACGGCUUGUGUGUUGGGCUUCCGCCCCUGGCAACGGGGACGGGCCCAAAAGGCAGUGGCGGCACCAUGUCUGGUCCUCGAGCGUAUGGGGCUUUGUCACCCGCUCCCGUAGGUCCAGCUGGCAGCUAGCCUCGCAACCAAUCUUUUUAACCAGGUUGACCUCGGAUCAGGUAGGGAUACCCGCUGAACUUAAGCAUAUCAAUAAGCGGAGGA